UACGGAGGGGGCUAGCGUUGUUCGGAAUUACUGGGCGUAAAGCGUACGUAGGCGGCUUUGUAAGUUAGAGGUGAAAGCCCAGGGCUUAACCCUGGAAUUGCCUUUAAGACUGCAUCGCUCGAAUUGUGGAGAGGUGAGUGGAAUUCCGAGUGUAGAGGUGAAAUUCGUAGAUAUUCGGAAGAACACCAGUGGCGAAGGCGACUCACUGGACACAUAUUGACGCUGAGGUGCGAAAGCGUGGGGAGCAAACAGG
Molecule: ribosomal RNA, 253 nt
Filed under: uncultured bacterium
Lineage: Bacteria
Description: partial 16S ribosomal RNA
Rfam family: Bacterial small subunit ribosomal RNA
Source: RNAcentral